CUGGAGGUAUCAGAAGUGCGAAUGCUGACAUAAGUAACGAUAAAGCGGGUGAAAAGCCCGCUCGCCGGAAGACCAAGGGUUCCUGUCCAACGUUAAUCGGGGCAGGGUGAGUCGACCCCUAAGGCGAGGCCGAAAGGCGUAGUCGAUGGGAAACGGGUUAAUAUUCCCGUACUUGGUGUUACUGCGAAGGGGGGACGGAGAAGGCUAUGUUGGCCGGGCGACGGUUGUCCCGGUUUAAGCGUGUAGGUGUGUGUUCCAGGUAAAUCCGGUUCACUUUAACACUGAGGCGUGAUGACGAGGCACUACGGUGCUGAAGCAACAAAUGCCCUGCUUCCAGGAAAAGCCUCUAAGCAUCAGGUAACAUCAAAUCGUACCCCAAACCGACACAGGUGGUCAGGUAGAGAAUACCAAGGCGCUUGAGAGAACUCGGGUGAAGGAACUAGGCAAAAUGGUGCCGUAACUUCGGGAGAAGGCACGCUGACACGUAGGUGAAGUGAUUUACUCAUGGAGCUGAAGUCAGUCGAAGAUACCAGCUGGCUGCAACUGUUUAUUAAAAACACAGCACUGUGCAAACACGAAAGUGGACGUAUACGGUGUGACGCCUGCCCGGUGCCGGAAGGUUAAUUGAUGGGGUCAGCGCAAGCGAAGCUCCUGAUCGAAGCCCCGGUAAACGGCGGCCGUAACUAUAACGGUCCUAAGGUAGCGAAAUUCCUUGUCGGGUAAGUUCCGACCUGCACGAAUGGCGUAAUGAUGGCCAGGCUGUCUCCACCCGAGACUCAGUGAAAUUGAACUCGCUGUGAAGAUGCAGUGUACCCGCGGCAAGACGGAAAGACCCCGUGAACCUUUACUAUAGCUUGACACUGAACAUUGAGCCUUGAUGUGUAGGAUAGGUGGGAGGCUUUGAAGUGUGGACGCCAGUCUGCAUGGAGCCGACCUUGAAAUACCACCCUUUAAUGUUUGAUGUUCUAACGUGGACCCGUGAUCCGGGUUGCGGACAGUGUCUGGUGGGUAGUUUGACUGGGGCGGUCUCCUCCUAAAGAGUAACGGAGGAGCACGAAGGUUGGCUAAUCCUGGUCGGACAUCAGGAGGUUAGUGCAAUGGCAUAAGCCAGCUUGACUGCGAGCGUGACGGCGCGAGCAGGUGCGAAAGCAGGUCAUAGUGAUCCGGUGGUUCUGAAUGGAAGGGCCAUCGCUCAACGGAUAAAAGGUACUCCGGGGAUAACAGGCUGAUACCGCCCAAGAGUUCAUAUCGACGGCGGUGUUUGGCACCUCGAUGUCGGCUCAUCACAUCCUGGGGCUGAAGUAGGUCCCAAGGGUAUGGCUGUUCGCCAUUUAAAGUGGUACGCGAGCUGGGUUUAGAACGUCGUGAGACAGUUCGGUCCCUAUCUGCCGUGGGCGCUGGAGAACUGAGGGGGGCUGCUCCUAGUACGAGAGGACCGGAGUGGACGCAUCACUGGUGUUCGGGUUGUCAUGCCAAUGGCACUGCCCGGUAGCUAAAUGCGGAAGAGAUAAGUGCUGAAAGCAUCUAAGCACGAAACUUGCCCCGAG
RNAcentral lists this ribosomal RNA (1547 nucleotides) under Salmonella enterica. RNAcentral describes it as "partial 23S ribosomal RNA". It matches the Rfam family "Bacterial large subunit ribosomal RNA", at positions 1273 to 2803 of the family's 2925-position model. Lineage: Bacteria; Pseudomonadati; Pseudomonadota; Gammaproteobacteria; Enterobacterales; Enterobacteriaceae. RNAcentral also lists the same sequence under 1 other name. The record is from RNAcentral.